RNAcentral lists this ribosomal RNA (250 nucleotides) under uncultured Lactobacillus sp. RNAcentral describes it as "partial 16S ribosomal RNA". It matches the Rfam family "Bacterial small subunit ribosomal RNA", at positions 114 to 355 of the family's 1533-position model. Lineage: Bacteria; Bacillati; Bacillota; Bacilli; Lactobacillales; Lactobacillaceae. The record is from RNAcentral.
CACGUGGGGAACCUGCCCCUAUAGUCUGGGAUACCACUUGGAAACAGGUGCUAAUACCGGAUAAGAAAGCGGAUCGCAUGAUCAGCUUUUAAAAGGCGGCGUAAGCUGUCGCUAUGGGAUGGCCCCGCGGUGCAUUAGCUAGUUGGUAAGGUAAAGGCUUACCAAGGCGAUGAUGCAUAGCCGAGUUGAGAGACUGAUCGGCCACAUUGGGACUGAGACACGGCCCAAACUCCUACGGGAGGCAGCAGCC